AGUGAACGCUGGCGGUAGGCCUAACACAUGCAAGUCGAACGGCGGCACAGUAAGAGCUUGCUCUUGCGGGUGGCGAGUGGCGGACGGGUGAGGAAUACAUCGGAAUCUACUUUUUCGUGGGGGAUAACGUAGGGAAACUUACGCUAAUACCGCAUACGACCUACGGGUGAAAGCAGGGGAUCUUCGGACCUUGCGCGAUUGAAUGAGCCGAUGUCGGAUUAGCUAGUUGGCGGGGUAAAGGCCCACCAAGGCGACGAUCCGUAGCUGGUCUGAGAGGAUGAUCAGCCACACUGGAACUGAGACACGGUCCAGACUCCUACGGGAGGCAGCAGUGGGGAAUAUUGGACAAUGGGCGCAAGCCUGAUCCAGCCAUACCGCGUGGGUGAAGAAGGCCUUCGGGUUGUAAAGCCCUUUUGUUGGGAAAGAAAAGCAGCAGGUUAAUACCCCGCUGUUCUGACGGUACCCAAAGAAUAAGCACCGGCUAACUUCGUG
RNAcentral lists this ribosomal RNA (492 nucleotides) under uncultured bacterium. Its description in RNAcentral is "partial 16S ribosomal RNA". It matches the Rfam family "Bacterial small subunit ribosomal RNA", at positions 29 to 507 of the family's 1533-position model. The record is from RNAcentral.